UACGAAGGGGGCUAGCGUUGCUCGGAAUGACUGGGCGUAAAGGGCGCGUAGGCGGUUUGCAUAGUCAGACGUGAAAUUCCUGGGCUCAACCUGGGGACUGCGCUUGAGACGUGUGGGCUUGAGUGGGGAAGAGGGUCGUGGAAUUCCCAGUGUAGAGGUGAAAUUCGUAGAUAUUGGGAAGAACACCGGUGGCGAAGGCGGCGACCUGGUCCUUGACUGACGCUGAGGCGCGAAAGCGUGGGGAGCAAACAGG
This 253-nucleotide ribosomal RNA is filed under the name uncultured bacterium. RNAcentral's name for it is "partial 16S ribosomal RNA". It matches the Rfam family "Bacterial small subunit ribosomal RNA", at positions 524 to 776 of the family's 1533-position model. The record is from RNAcentral.